This 799-nucleotide ribosomal RNA is filed under the name uncultured Glomeromycotina. Its description in RNAcentral is "SSU rRNA". It matches the Rfam family "Eukaryotic small subunit ribosomal RNA", at positions 314 to 1114 of the family's 1831-position model. The record is from RNAcentral. Lineage: Eukaryota; Fungi; Glomeromycota.
AUCAACUUUCGAUGGUAGGAUAGAGGCCUACCAUGGUGGUAACGGGUAACGGGGUGUUAGGGCACGACACCGGAGAGGGAGCCUGAGAAACGGCUACCACAUCCAAGGAUGGCAGCAGGCGCGCAAAUUACCCAAUCCCGACACGGGGAGGUAGUGACAAUAAAUAACAAUACGGGGUUCUUUUGGAUUUCGUAAUUGGAAUGAGUACAAUUUAAAUCUCUUAACGAGGAACAAUUGGAGGGCAAGUCUGGUGCCAGCAGCCGCGGUAAUUCCAGCUCCAAUAGCGUAUAUUAAAGUUGUUGCAGUUAAAAAGCUCGUAGUUGAAUUUCGGGAUCAGUACGCUGGUCGUGCCUUCGGUAUGCACUGGUGUCACUGGUUCCUCCCUUCUGAAGAACUGUCAUGCCAUUCAGUUGGUGUGGCGGGAAAUCAGGACUGUUACUUUGAAAAAAUUAGAGUGUUUAAAGCAGGCUCGCGCUUGAAUACAUUAGCAUGGAAUAAUGAAAUAGGACGUUUGAUCCUAUUUUGUUGGCUUCUAGGAUCGACGUAAUGAUUAAUAGGGAUAGUUGGGGGCAUUAGUAUUCAAUUGUCAGAGGUGAAAUUCUUGGAUUUAUUGAAGACUAACUACUGCGAAAGCAUUUGCCAAGGAUGUUUUCAUUAAUCAAGAACGAAAGUUAGGGGAUCGAAGACGAUCAGAUACCGUCGUAGUCUUAACCAUAAACUAUGCCGACUAGGGAUCGGAUGAUGUUAAUUUUAUAAUGACUCAUUCGGCGCCUUACGGGAAACCAAAGUGUUUGGGUUC